UACGUAGGGGGCAAGCGUUGUCCGGAUUUAUUGGGCGUAAAGAGCGUGUAGGCGGCUUGGCAGGUCUCGCGUCAAAACCUGAGGCUCAACCUCAGUUCGCGUGGGAAACCACCUAGCUAGAGUCCGGAAGAGGAGAACGGAAUUCCCAGUGUAGCGGUGAAAUGCGCAGAUAUUGGGAAGAACACCAGUGGCGAAGGCGGUUCUCUGGGACGGUACUGACGCUGAGACGCGAAAGCGUGGGGAGCGAACAGG
This 252-nucleotide ribosomal RNA is filed under the name uncultured bacterium. RNAcentral describes it as "partial 16S ribosomal RNA". It matches the Rfam family "Bacterial small subunit ribosomal RNA", at positions 524 to 776 of the family's 1533-position model. The record is from RNAcentral.